GCUUUUAUGGUGUAUAAAACACAUUAGAUUUUCGAUCUAAAGUUAGAGGCAUAUCUCUUAAAGGUU
This 66-nucleotide transfer RNA is filed under the name Scrobicularia plana. Its description in RNAcentral is "tRNA-Glu". It matches the Rfam family "tRNA". From Rfam's summary of the family: Transfer RNA (tRNA) molecules are approximately 80 nucleotides in length. Their secondary structure includes four short double-helical elements and three loops (D, anti-codon, and T loops). Further hydrogen bonds mediate the characteristic L-shaped molecular structure. tRNAs have two regions of fundamental functional importance: the anti-codon, which is responsible for specific mRNA codon recognition, and the 3' end, to which the tRNAs corresponding amino acid is attached (by aminoacyl-tRNA synthetases). tRNAs cope with the degeneracy of the genetic code in two manners: having more than one tRNA (with a specific anti-codon) for a particular amino acid; and 'wobble' base-pairing, i.e. permitting non-standard base-pairing at the 3rd anti-codon position. The record is from RNAcentral. Lineage: Eukaryota; Metazoa; Mollusca; Bivalvia; Cardiida; Scrobiculariidae.